AGCCCUGCGCUGCAUGAUCUCACUUCUGUUUAAUUCUGGAAAAUACAAACUAAUCCAGAGUGACAGUGAGCACAACUACACAAGCAGACCGGGCGGGAGGAGGGCGAGUGCAGAGCACAGGAGGUGACGGGCGCACCCUGCAGGUGGGAACGCAGGCGGCUUACACGCCGUGCACUGCCCAGGAGGCCAGAGAGGAAGACAGGGUGGUAGGGCCACCUCCGAAAUGCGUUACAUUUAGCUACCUGGGUUCAUCACCUUCCUGUCUGACCUCAGGCUCCACUCUGCAUCCAAGAGCACCAGCAUCUCUCUAGUUACAGCUCAAGGGAAGGCAGCUUCUCUUCCUGUACAACAAUGAGCUGCUUGCUAGUAUCUUUAGCACCGAGGUGCCACAGAAUCCGCGAGGCUUGCAGGCAGCCUGGGUGGAAGGCACUGUAGCUCUGAGUCUGCAGAGCCACGCUGUUUGGAAAUUCUCCCUCCUCCCCGCACUGGAACCUGUAAUCGCAGGCAGCCAGCUGCCAUUGUGCCUCCUCCUCGUGCAAUCGAAACCUUCAGUCAGCAUCGUCAGCAUCGCAGCCGCCACAAGACCUCAGCAGCAGCAGAAUGACACGAGGAGCCAGCUGCUUUUUCUUCACAGCCUCGCUUUUCAUCUCAACAGGCUGAGGAAAACAGAUUCCAUGGAUGCAGCUGAAUUUCCCAUCUUUUCAGCAGUAGCUGUUUUGGUUCUACGUGUUUGAAGCCAUACACUAAAAGGACGGACACUCACCCGGGCAGUCAUAGGGGAGCAGGAAAAGAUGCCCAAGGUGGGCAAAGGCUGCAUUGAGCCUGCAAACACCCCGAGCAGCACACAGCAUCCAUGUCCCUUAGUGAGCAGAGGAACGCCUGCCUCCCAGACCAGGAAGGCUGUGACCUCCGACCAGGCCACGUGCAAACCAAAAAAUCCAAGGUUGCCUACACCUGCAUCCUGAGUUCUGGAAAGUACCAGGCUC
This 986-nucleotide long non-coding RNA is filed under the name Fukomys damarensis (Damara mole-rat). RNAcentral's name for it is "lncRNA (ENSFDAG00000025115.1)". Lineage: Eukaryota; Metazoa; Chordata; Mammalia; Rodentia; Bathyergidae. The record is from RNAcentral.